CUGUUGUCCGCUGUCCUGUCACGGAAUCUUAGAAUCAUGAGGGUUGGAAAAGACCUCUAUGAUCCUCUCGUACAAUCGUCCACCUACCGCCAAUACUGCCCACUAACCGUGUCCCUCAGUGAUGCAUCAUAUCUCCACGGUUCUUGAAUGCCUCCAGGGACGGUGCCUCCUGAGGCAGCCUGUUCCAAUGUAUCGCCACUCUUCCUGAGGAGACAUUUUUCCUGAUGUUCAAUCUGACUCCUCACUCCUGAGCCCUCUUCCUUCCCCAAGGCCCCAGAGGUGAUAGGGGACCAGGGCUGCCUACUACCAAAGUGCCACAGGUUGGUUGUGGUGGUGCAGGUGCUUUAUGUGUGGGGCAGGUGAAUGAGGGCCCAAUUCGUGUCACACCAAAGGGAGUGGGAGAAAAGUCAAGGGAAGAGGUGGGGUCUUUUACUGGAGCAACAGAUAAGCACACACUUCGAGGGAAGACCAGGCCUCUGCUUUCCAGCAAACACCCUCCAGAGCUGUAAGUGAAGUGGCAGCAUUCACGGCUAAGCUGAAAGUAAUUGUGCUAAUAUUUUAAUGGCCUACCUGCCACUGAAAAUGAUUGAACACCCGACAAAUGAUGAUCAGGAACCAAGGCAAGAUGACCACCUUCAGUGGGUACAACGGCGGCCAUGUGCUCCUGCGGCAGGAGGGAGCAGAGUGGUCUACAGCUCCUGGCCCUGCAGAGCCCAUACUUCUGUUAUUCAACAAAAAGCUGCAGGUUCCCCUUGGGAUUCUAGUAGAACUGAGCUUAAAAGUGUGCUCUUGAGGAUCAGCCCCGGGAGCUGAGAGAAGUGCUCCCUCAGAGAGAUCUGGCAGUUCUACUUGUUGCUGUCAGCACUUGUAGCUAUGUAAGUCCAUGUACUCUUCUCAUCUGUGAGCAGCUGUACUGGAAGAAGCACAGUGGGUCCCAGGGAACGCAGGAGAGGGGCCAGAAGCUCUGACGUGGUGGGGACUGCCUGAUCUGGCAAGCAGCGGGAGGUACAGUGUGAAGUUUCUGGCGUAGGCAUAACUUGAGUGUGUUUGACACCUGGCAGUCCACAGGGAAUGUGCUUCACAUAGCAACAGAGAGAUGCAGAGGAGGGUGCUGGAUGCUGGGGCUGGCUGAGAACUGCUGUGGGAAAACUUUAUUGAAGGUAGAAUGGUCUUUCAGCACAGGAAGUUCUCAGGAAGCUCUCAAUCAUUUCCUGAGGUGGGAUGGAGCUGACCGCAUGUUCCUGCUGAGAAUGCAUAUUCAGCAAGGAGGUAAUUUUGUGGCUGUUCCACAUCCACAGUGAACUCAGAUGUGCUCCCACACGUGGAGGAAGAAAAGGAGAACAUGUCUGCCUGUGCUGCAUCCCUUUCUCUCACCCCAGCAUCAUCAUUAAGGGUGCACCAGCCAUGGGAGGGCACCCCAUGAGCUCACUGACAGAACAGAUGCUGUGUCUCCUUGCCGUGAUCCCCACAUUUGCGUCACUCUGUGCUUAGUGAAGUGGCUUUAAGCAAACUUGUGCUAAAGCUUUCCCACCACAGCAGAGUGAAGCUCGCUGAUUCUUCUCAGGCAUUUUCCAUAUUUCACUGGCCAGUGCUUGGUACAGCAAGUUCGGUAAAUGUUUGUAAAUCAGUCUUCAUGAUAAUACUGUUGUUUAUUUUUAGCUUGUUCCCACAGAGCUCUAUGAUCUAAUCCGUGCUCAGACUCCACUGUAAUAAGCUAAGGAAACCGAGCUUCUUCCGUCUUUCUGUCGAGGAGAAAUUUUCCAGACAGUUUUGUAGCUCUUCUCACAAAUCAUGAUGAGAGCAUCCUUUUCAAUUUCUCCUUCGUUGUGGCUGCAUUAAAAAGAUUGAUCCUGGUUGCAUCUCCAUUGAAGUGGAGGGAAGGACACAGUCACCUUUAUUACGCUGUCAGAGAAGCAAAAAGACUUCUGUCUCCUCUUUCCAGGCCCUCGUUGCUGCUGCAGCUGUCAUGGAGAAGACUGUGGUGUUGAAACUUAAACACACAGGUUGCUCUGAAAGUAAUGCCUCAUAUUUUUUUUUCCAUGGAAACCACAAGAGAUACAAAGAGCACAAUAAUACCAUUUAAUAGAGCAAAUUCUCAGCUACAAAGAACUGUUUUUCAGCAUUGUCACUACCAGUAGCUAUGCAUUUUUGCCAGCAAUGAACAAGACCCUGCAUACUGUACUCCUAAAAAUCUGCACUGGUGGAGGUGACCCACUGUCACUGUUGCCACUGCCGAAAUGCACCACCCACCAUCUCAUUGUGCUCUCAUCCACUGUUUGGUCUCCAUAAACAUUCAGCAAGCGUUGAUGAGUGUCAAUGGGUGCCAUAUUUUCUGCACGGAGGAAUUCAGUGACACCUUUGCUUCAUAUGCGCUUCCAUGUCAGACGCCAUUUGGUCAGACAGCUCUGCUGCUGCCAUCUGUCACAUGGCAACAAGAGUAAUGGAAUAUUGGUGGGAAGGUUCAACCUCUGCUGCUGUACCACCAAGAUCCACUUCUGACAACAUCAUGGACUGAUAUAAUACAAUAGGAGCCAUUACUUUUGGAACAGCCCUUGUACAUAAAAAGAGUAACUAUCAAAGAUCAGAAAGACAGUAUUUUGUCCUCAAUUUUUACGCCAGAGUGCAAGAGGAAUUUCUUUUGGUAGGUAGCACAUGUCAGGUUAAGUUUCCACUGUAAAUUUGACUGAGGUGCUCACAGUGAUCGCUUAAGAUAAUAUACUCAUUUAAGUCCUAAUGCUCCAUUUUUCUGUUUGGCUGUAGCCAGUUCUUCAGCUGGAGUAAACAGGAAAGAAAGAAAAUGGUUCUCUUACAUGUAUUGCUGUUUGCUGCUAUUUCCUGCUCUCAAGCCACCAUAUCUUACCUUUUUUGUUGAGCUCUAUCAGAGUUUUCCAAGUAGAUUUAGAAUCCAGAAAGCUUUAUCUGGAUUGGAGAUAGUGUUAGUACAAAUCUUAGGUGAUAUGGAAGCUUAGAAUUUAAUAAAAAACUCUCAUCACAUAAUAAUAGCUAAAAGAAUGGAUUGGAAAGCCAGAAUUUUCAGAGCCUCACAAGGAAAAAAUAAAAUAAAAUAAAAUAAAAUAAAAAUAAUAAAUCAAUUUUUCAUUUUCAAAUAUUUAAGGAUUUUCUUUUCUUAAACUGUACCAUUAAAGCAGCAAUCCCAUUAAUUUAGUGAUACAGAUUCACCAUUCUUCUAUCCUCUUGAAGACUCUGCAUUAACAUUAGUUGUAAACCCUUGCCGAGGCUUUCAGUACUGGAGAUAUGUUUCAACCUGAUUUAUGGCCAGUUUUUUGACCAAAUGAAAAUGCAUCCUGUAAUGUAAAACAUAUUUCUAAAACAGUUGUCAUAUUCCUUAUACCAGAAACUGAAUAAAUUUAUAUCAGAGCCAAGUACAAGAAAAUAAUUACAUCAGUUACAUUUUUCUCCUGUCAUACAGUUAAGAUCCUUUCUGCAGUAUAUCUGGAUCUCUCCAUUUUCCUUCUCACACGGUAGACCUCCACUCAGUAGUCUCUACGUAGCAGUGCUGCAUGCUUCAUUAAGUUUCUGCAUAAACAUGAGUGCAUGCUUAUGCUUUAUUGACUUAAGGGGAACUGGAUGGCAGUGUUGAAACUAAGCAUGUGUUCGGGUUGAACUGAGACUCAGGCUAACUUGGGGAUGCACUGCUAACAGCAAGUAGUGGUCAAGUUUUGCAGCUCUCACAUUUUCCAACAGCCAAAAACACUAACCUCACUGCUCCAAAGCUAGCCUUUAUCAGUACUUCCUAAAUCACUGUAUUGCAACCAAAAAUGUAAUGACAGCCCUGAAACAUAACUAACAAAUAUCACAGAAUCAUUUAGGCUUGGAAAGGCCUUGGAGAUAUCAAGUCCAACCAUAAUAUUUCUAUCGGCUUUCUCUGAACCUUUUCCUGUCUGUACUGUUGAAGAUGAUCACGUGUGAUGGGAUCAUUUAGUACCUAAAGGGGAGCUAUAAAAAAAGGGGGGGAUAGACUCUUCAGUGGGGUCUGUUGUGAUAGGAAAAAGGGAAAUUGUUUCAAAUUAAAAGCAGGGAUACUUAGUCUCGAUAUAAGGAAAAGUAUGAUAGUGAAGCACUACAACAGGUUGCCCAGAGAGGUGGUAGAUACCUCAUCCAUGGGGAUGUUCAAGGUCAGGUAUGUGCAACCUGAUCUAUCUGUAGGUGUCCAUGUUCAUUGCAGGGGAGUUGGACUAGAUGAGCUUUAAAGAUCCCUUCCAACUCAAUUGAUUCUAGGAUCCAGUUAUCAUUCUGUGGCAAAACAUUAAUUUUCACUCUUUCCCUCACAGUUUCUCUGCGCUGAGCAGAGGAACUAUCACGGAACUAUCACAGCUCCAAAGCCAAGUAAUGCCAAAUUAUUGUCUGUACACAGUGUUUUUAACCAGCUAAACUCAAUAGCAGACUUCUUAUGCAAUCGGUUUUAGGACUCAUGCAUGUCCUUCCACAAAUUCCCUUCUCCUUUCCCUGUUCUUCACAUCUUCUCAUUGCAGAACGCUAGCAUGACUAGAAGAAAUGGUUGACUCUAACUCAGAGCAAUGAACAGCAUCAAGAUUUCAAAUUUGUUCUUGCACAAGAAAACACAUUAACAAACCUGUGUGAAAUGUAUCUCUCACAGGCAAACCUUUAAAGACAACUACAGUGUGAAGCCACACCAUUUUGUAUUGAGGAAAUUCAAUCAAGAGUUCUUUGGUUUAACAUCUGUUAUCAACAAGAUAUAACACAGAGGAAAGAGAGCCUAAACAAAGAGGAAAACUCAAUAUUUAAUCUUCCAGUUUUCUAAGAUGGAAUUCAUAAAAGCCUACCAUCACCCAAGGAACACCCUUAGAAUACCCAUUUGGUAUUCACCAAAUACAGCUUCUUUGGUUUUAAGUACUUGUAGAAACAUUGGCAGCUGUUUUCUGACUGAGCAUUUGGCAAUUGCAUACUGGAAGCUGUAAUUUUCACUUGCCUCCCUCAUCACAAGCUUCCAGAAUCUGAUGACCAACACUUCCACCCAUCUUGUGACCAAGAUUUCCAAAAACUUUGACACUGGAUCUCUCAGCUGGGCUCCCUAAGCAGCUGUUCCGAUGCCUUCCCACUCUUUCUGAAAAGAAAUUUUCCAAACUGAAACCAAUCUGAGCUUGGUCCACAUAUUUAAGGAAACUAGUCUAUAGGAGGAGGAGACAGUAUUUCUGAGAAAACAACAGCAACAACAACAAAAACACAAGACAAGAACAACAACAACAAAAGCCAUUUGAACUCAGGUUCAAAAAAACUUCUGUGGAAGACCUGUGAAGACAAAAACAAAAACUAGCUGAUCCUGUAACUCAUAUUAAAGCACUUUCUAAGCAUAUGAAUGUCUGGUACUUUAAAACACAGUCAUUAAGUUGAAUACUUAUUUUUACACAACAGCCAUAUAACAUCAUGUAUUACAUUGCCUCAAUAUAUUUGACGUUGGCAGCAAAAAUGCAAUAGAUAUACAUACCUUUGUGCAUACACUCUUAACUGAAUUUGCUUGCCAGCAUUGUCCCAGUCCUGUGUGAUGUGAUGGUAGUUGGCUAAUCAGCCAGCUCUCUCCCAUGAUGCAAUUUACAACACAGACUUAAUGAGUGAGUAUGUUGGAUGUUUCAAACCAGUUAGCGUCAGUAGGUUUCAAAAGGCAUUGCCCCAGUCUUUAUCUUUUCCCCAUAAUCUUCUUAAUAACCUCACGAGUACUAUAAAUAAAGGAGGAGAAUGGUGAAAUUGUGACUUUUCACUGAAG
Molecule: long non-coding RNA, 5743 nt
Filed under: Gallus gallus (chicken)
Lineage: Eukaryota; Metazoa; Chordata; Aves; Galliformes; Phasianidae
Description: lncRNA (ENSGALG00010020067.1)
Source: RNAcentral